CCCCCCCCCCCCCCCCCCCCCCCCCCCCCCCCCCCCCCCCCCCCCCCCCCCCCCCCCCGGGGCAGCCCGGCGGCCGGGCACCGUGCGCGGCGGGGCCACGCUUCCAGCACGCUGCUCGCACGGACACCGCCCCGCCGCGCCGGUAUGUGCCCGGCUCCAUCCCCCGGGGCCGGCGGGGAGCGGGGAUGCGCGGCCGCACCCGCGGGGCGAGCCGGGCACGGGCAGCGCUGGCCUGCGGCCGCCUGGGGCUCCUGUGGUGCGGGCGAGCGGGGAGAGAGAGCCCUGCUUUGAGGUGGGGUUUUUCAGGACGGGCGGCGGUGCUGCUUUACUCCUCCCAUCAUCUCGCAGCGAGGUUGCCGGCCACGGACUCCUCCGAACUGGGCGAAGCGGAGGUGCCGCUCCCGCCGGGCACCCUGAGGAAAGGUGCUGCUACGGACAGCAGUGAGAGUGAUGCGGAGUGGGAAGAUUUCCUCAGAAGAAGCACAAAAGGAGAUGCUCUGUUCUUUGAAAAUAACUGGAGGCACUGGCAAGAAGCAGCAACACCGCAUCGAACAAGGGAACCGCUUCCAGGUUAUCCAAACAUGCUGUUGAACUGAAUUUUGCAGCUGCGUUUUCCAAUGUACCAUGGGAUGCAUCAAAUCCAAGGCUGCCUUCCAAGGUUCCAACGCCGUGCAGGAUGAGAGGGUGGGGGCAGGAGGCACGGGGUGCUCCGGGGAGAAGUCGUCGCUGCUGGCGGUGAAGGCGGAGGAGAGGGGCCCCUCGAGCACCCUCGUGCUGGACUACGCGCAGCGGCUGUCGCGGGACAUCCUGGAGCAGGCGGUCCGGCAGUGGGCGGUGACCGAGAGCAAGUACAGCGACAUCCCCUUCAUCGAGAGCGACGUGCCCUGAGCCCUGCCCAGCCUGGCCCGGCCCUGUGCGCGCUGCCAGGGCACAGGAAGCGCCCCCAGCUCUCUCUGAGCAUCACUGCGGGGAGAGCCUCAGAAAAUUUGCCUUUAAACGUAGAUUGCUAACAAACUACUUGGAUCGCAGUAGAGCCUGCUCAUAAAGUUAUUUGUUGUCAGCCAUGUGUUGAGUAUACAUAGAGUAUCAUGCUCUGUCUUUGUAUGUGUUGGAUGUGACCAGAAAUUAGCAUUAAAAAGACGAUGGGAAGACUGUGGCUGCCCUGCACCUCUACAAGCACUGCCACAGAGGACAAAACGUGGAUUAUUUCUAUGUUCUGCAUAAAAGAUCACUGGUCUGUCUGUAGGUGAGAUGAACUCUGUGCUUGGUGAAUUUGUCCGUGUUUUGCUGAAGUGAAAUCGAGGUCUGCAUGUAGCAAAGGUUACUGCUAUCAUAAAUUUUACUUUUGAUUCUGUGACCUAACUAAAUCUGUAAAACCACAAAAUAAUGAAGGUGAUGAGAGACUCUUCGUAAAGCCCAGUAGUAUUCAGAACCAUUUGGAUGAUGAUGUUAUUCACCUUCCAUUGAAGUGAGCCAGUGAGAAACAUGCCAGUGUUGAUAAGCAGUGCAUUAUCAUUAACAGAUGCUUCUGUAAAUGCAUGAAAGCUUGUCUCUAAAACCCUGCAGUAAGAUAGGUUAAUGACAUCUGGUGUGUUCAGACCAAAGCUGUUUGGUUUUUUUUGGUUUUGUUUGGGGUUGUUUUGUGUUAGGGUGCUGGUUUGGGAGGAUUUGGUUUUGUUGUUUUACUGUAACCCAGAGAGAUGUGCAAAAACUACUGAUGGUAACUAGUGAAAGCAACCUUCAAAGAUGUGGCAGUGCUUCAGGACAAUUUGUUUCAUGGGAGCUGUGGUAGCAUUACACUGAAAUUCCUCUCUGAAGUACCACCCUUGGGACAGGACGUCUUCCUUCAGCUUCUGUAGGCUGCUGCUUCCCCACUGGAAAACCUGUUCAUGGCAAUGCCAGCAGGAUCCAUAGGAGCCCUGGCCCUGGCAGUGCUCUGAAUGCAGAGUUAGGGACUGAGCCUUGGGCCCAAAGCUCAAGGGCUGCAUUUGUCCCCCAGUGCAUCGACACACUGCUCCCUGCUUGCCCAGGACUGGCAGCCUGACCCACUGCACUCAAGGCUGGCGUUUGACAGAUCAGAACAGGGAUGCAUUAUUCCUAUUCAUCCCAAAGGUACAAUGUUACUGAUGUUUUAUACAAAGUGAAGGCCUUCUAACAGCUCGGCUUUUACCACCUAUUUGUUCUUUUUUCUGUGAAGCCCAGUUUAAAAGACAUAGUUCCUUUUACUAGAUCAAAAUGCUUUCUAUUUUGUUUUCAUUUUAUAGAGAAUUGCUUUCCAUACUGGCUAAAGCUGUUACUAUUUUUAAAUGGAACACAUAGUUCUAGUAAAUGAUCCAAAGCAUGAUUUUUCAAGCAAUGGGCAGCAAGCAGAAAGAGGACCAUGUCAAAUGCUGAUUUUAGCUUAUUCUCUGGCAUAAGAUAGUCUAUGAAUUGAGCUGUUUUGCAAAUGUUGUGACACAAACUUAGGUAUUUGAAAUUCACCAUACCGGGCAGUGGUUUUAUCAGGAAUAAAGGGUGAAAAAUGUUUCUCUGUGACAACAGCACAAGGCUGGCAUUAAAUCCCAGUGACCAGACUGGAUUCCCAGUGACCCGUAUUAACUGUUUUUAGGCUUUUACUGGAAAAGGGAACGAAAUCAGCUCAUAAGCUGUAAUGUCGUCCUCUUUGAAGUUACGUAGUUGUCUUCAAAGCCAUUUGCAAAAUGGAACUAAAGUUUUAUGGUUUACUUAAAUACUCCUGCUAAGUGAUGUUCCUUCAACUUCUACAGCAUAUGAAACAUUAGAUCAUACUCUGUUUGCUCUAAAAUACCUCCAUAUAUUAGUGUGAGUUAGAAAGCAACGCCAAAACACUGAUCAAGUCAGUUCGUAUCAACUGGAUAUUGCUUAACCACAGUAUUAAAAAAGAUUCCUAUUAUUCUAGCUAAAAUAAAGCUUUAUUACAAGAAAAAAGAAAAAAAGGGCCAACCUUUCUAACAUCAGUGUGGGCUCAUGUUAACACUGCUAAUUACAGUAAUUAAUAAUAAAGAAGCCAAAGCUCCAGAGCCAUUGUUGGCCAGGCAGGUGAGAAGCAGAAAACUGCACUCACUGUCAGAGCACCUUGAGGUGGAUCUGCCCUGGCCCUUGUACAAGGCAAGCACGGGUGUUGCAGUGCUUCCUGUUGCCAUGUCUCAAAUCCUUCCUCUGGAUGUAGCCUUAGCAUCUGAUACUCUUCAGGAAUAUCAGAUGCACUUUUGAAAGCAGCUCCCGUUGGCUGGCUGCCACCGCACGGUCCAACACAGGCAGAGUUAUAAAACAGCCCAGGGCUCCACCACAGCAUCCCUUGUGAUCAGCACUGGGCAUUUCCCCAGAGGAG
Long non-coding RNA from Ficedula albicollis (Collared flycatcher), 3349 nucleotides. The record is from Ensembl. Lineage: Eukaryota; Metazoa; Chordata; Aves; Passeriformes; Muscicapidae.